Molecule: ribosomal RNA, 248 nt
Filed under: uncultured bacterium
Lineage: Bacteria
Description: partial 16S ribosomal RNA
Rfam family: Bacterial small subunit ribosomal RNA
Source: RNAcentral
UUGCUGGCGACCGGCGCACGGGUGAGUAACACGUAUCCAACCUGCCGAUAACUCGGGGAUAGCCUUUCGAAAGAAAGAUUAAUACCCGAUGGCAUAAUUAGACCGCAUGGUUUGAUUAUUAAAGAAUUUCGGUUAUCGAUGGGGAUGCGUUCCAUUAGGCAGUUGGUGAGGUAACGGCUCACCAAACCUUCGAUGGAUAGGGGUUCUGAGAGGAAGGUCCCCCACAUUGGGACUGAGACACGGUCCAA